Molecule: ribosomal RNA, 468 nt
Filed under: uncultured bacterium
Lineage: Bacteria
Description: partial 16S ribosomal RNA
Rfam family: Bacterial small subunit ribosomal RNA
Source: RNAcentral
GACGAACGCUGGCGGCGUGCUUAAUACAUGCAAGUCGAACGGAAAGGCGCUGCCGUUGUGGGGUGCGCGGGGGGCGAACGGGUAAGAAGCACGUGAGUAGCCUUCCCUUGGCUGACGGCUGAGUGCAGGUACCUGGAGUACCUACCGUAUACGUGCUCCUGAUGCUUUUUGUGGGAUGUCAAGUUCCGGCCGGUGCGGCUGGACUCGCAUCUUAUCAGCUUGUUGGUUGGGACGGUGAUGACCAAGGUUAUGAGGGGUAGUCGGCCUGUGAGCGUGACCGGCCACAUUGGGACUGAGAUACGGCCCAGCCUCCUACGGGAGGCAGCAGUGGGGAGUAUUGCACAAUGGGCGGAAGCCUGACGCAGCAACGCCGCGUGCGUGAUGACGGCCUUCGGGUUGUAAACCGCUUUCGCCUGUGACGAAGCGUGAGUGACGGUAAUGGGUAAAGAAGCACCGGCUAACUACGUG